Molecule: non-coding RNA, 3877 nt
Organism: Podarcis lilfordi (Lilford's wall lizard)
Lineage: Eukaryota; Metazoa; Chordata; Lepidosauria; Squamata; Lacertidae
Source: the annotation of a GenBank genome assembly
UGGGAAGAGGACUUGACCAUUAAACCACUCUGGAAAUUGUAGCUCUGGGAGGUAAAUAGGGUUCUCCUAACAACUAUCAGCACGAUGAAGCUUCCAGAAUUCUUUGAGGGAAGCUGUGGCUAUUUAAAGUGAUAGUGUGAUAUUUUACUUUAUAUGGAUGGUGUGGAUGUGACCAUAGUCCAAGAACAUCUGGUGGACCCAGGAUUUAAGAGCACUGGAAUAUUUUUCAAGGCAGGAAUGUUGUUAUCAUCAGCUGGAGCACCAGUGUAACUGAUAGACCCUCCUUCAUCCAUUGAACUCAGGUUGGUAUGUUUGGGUGUCAGGUAUCACACUUAAUCCUUGUAACAGCUGUAUAAAACAGGUUAACUUCGGACAGUGACUGGACCAAGGCUACCCUGAUCAGAAUUGUGGAGCCAUAUAUAACCAGCCCAAGCCCAACAUACUACUAUGCUACCCUCUGCCAGCUGGUUCUAUUAGAUGGGGUAUUGUGCCAUGUACUGUGUGUAAGCAUAUAUGUACAGUGGUACCUCGGGUUACAUACACUUCAGGUUACAUACGCUUCAGGUUACAGACUCUGCUAACCCAGAAAUAGUACCUCAGGUUAAGAACUUUGCUUCAGGAUGAGAACAGAAAUCUUGCUCUGGCAGUGGUACCUCAGGUUAAGUACUUAAUUUGUUCUGGAUGUCCGUAGUUAACCUGAAACUGUUCUUAACCUGAAGCACCACUUUAGCUAAUGGGGCCUCCCGAUGCCGUCGUACUGCCAGAGCAUGAUUUCUGUUCCCAUCCUGAAGCAAAGUUCUUAACCUGAAGCACGAUUUCUGGGUUAGCGGAAUCUGUAACCUGAAGCGUAUGUAACCUGAAGCGUAUGUAACCUGAGGUACCACUGUAUAGUAUAUUUGGGGUAUAUCAACUAGGGCCACACAUAAGCCCCCUAUCUGCCCCAUGGCUCUGAUUUGUGCACCACCCCCAAAAUCAGGCUAAUCACUUUGGGUUGACCACUCACCCUUGAUCCAUCCCUGUACAAUUUUUUUUGUUUGGGGUGGGGUGCAGGGUGAAGGAUUUUUAAAGCCCUAUUUUCAACAUAUGGAUGGGAGGGGGCAGGGAAAAGAGGAGCCAUUGUGUCUCUUUCUCCCCACUCCCAACUGUGAGCAGGUGGGUUUGAAUCUGAGGGGUGCUUGCUCCUUCGCAGGGAGCCACUUCUGAAAGAGCUGCAACCAGCACCAUGCAGGAUCGAAUCCUUACCUCACAAAGCUGAUAAAUGGGAGGACUGGAUCCUGUAUGGUGCUGGUUGCUCCUCCUGAAGGGUGCCCUACAAAGGAGCCGUACUCCUCUGGAUCAAACCCACCUGCUGCCAGUUAGGAGGGGGCUGCUGCUCCUUUGAUAGCUGUCUUCCUGCCCACUCCCCAGACUCUGUUUUUAUUAUGUAACAGCACUGGCUUCGCCUUUGAAGUCAAGAGUCCCCUUAAAGGUCACAGGAUUUUAAUUGCGGCCUUGCUGUAAAUAGUGAAAUUGUUGAAGGCAGCCUUUGUUUCUGAAGAGUGUCCUCUAUACAUGGAACACUCUUUUGAAACAAGACAGUCAAACAUAUAUCUCAUCUGUUAUUCAUUCUUUGCACAAAAGGAUUUUUUCCUUCCCCCUCUUCUUCCCUAUUUGCAAAUGAAGGGGGGUGGGGAUGAAAAGAAAUGUAAGAGUACAAAAAAGAAAAGAAAAAUAAAUUAGCAAGGGCACAGCAUAUUAUGAAGUCGUUUAAAGACUUUUUAAGGAAUAUGGUGCUUUGUCCAAAUCUGCGCUUUGCAGCACAGAGUGUCCAGAAGUACAAAAAGGACUUCUUUCCAUGCCAGCACAAAGUGUUUGACAUGUCUAAUCUCAUUUUAUCCUUCCAAUAACCCAUUUACACUGAGCUCUGGUCUAUACCUUCAUCAGCAUGGUGGUGGUGAUAGAACGGACUGCAUCAAUUCAAACUCCAGUUGGGAGGUCAUGUUUUUUCAGGCCUUCCCAAAUGUGAAAAAUCCCCUACAAGCAGACAACUAGCACAAUGGUGCAAGGUCUUGACUAGAACAUCUUUCUGUGACGUCUUCCCCUCUCCCAUGAAAGAAGGAAGGAGAACUUAUGGCCAUCUAGAUAGUGUUGGUCUUCAUCACUGGUCUUCAAUAGUUGGGUUGGGACCCACUAGUAGGUUGCAGCCUGAUCCAUAAUGGGAGCACUAUCACCAUGCAAAUAUAUGGUAAAAGAUUAAGAAAUGGGUCUCCAAAUGCAUGUUUGAGUUAAUAGUGGGACCUGGGUCUGAAAAGAUUGAAGAUAGCUGGACUACACAACCUAUCAUCCCUGACCGUUGGCUUUACUUACUGGAUCUGAUGGGAGCAUACAAGUUUCCCAUCUGUGUUUAAGAGGCACCUGCCCGGUUGCUGAUGAAACAGAAGUGGCAUACAGUAGACACUUCAUCUGAGUCAGUAAGGUAAUAAAUUUUGCUUUUCCUGCCUUUUAGGGCACAGAAGGCCAUCCCGUUUUGAGUAGUGCCUUGGAAUAGGAGAAUCUGUCAAUUUCAGUUUCUCUUGGUUUCUCGUUUCUUCAGUCUUAAAUUCAGUUUUCAACAUUUCCACAUCCGUUUGCUAUAAAACGUGACUGUUUCAAGUGGAAUGAUAUUGCAAUCUGCACUAGGUGGGUCUUCCUUUGUGCUUGAUCCAGAAUCUGCAGUUGGUGCAGAAUGCUGCACCAUGAUUGCUGUGUCAGCAUAUAACACCUGUGCUCAGAGAUCUGCAAUGGUUGCUGAUUCACUACCUGAUCUUUUAGUGUGGCAGAACUCACACUUUGGAAUUCCCAACCUAUUGAUUCUUUUUGGCACCUAUGAAAAAACUUAUUCUUUGGAAAAAACUUCCCAGAUAUGUAAAAUGUUGGUGUGCGUUUAAAUCUACUUAUCACUGGUUUUAAGUUUUUUGAAUAUUUUAAAUAGUUGUUGUUAAGUGUUUGCACCAAUAAUGUGAUAGUUUUAUUCUUUUUGUGAACCAUUUUUAGUUUUUUUUUAAAAAAAACAACAACAACAAAGACAAAUGCUGUAUAAUUUUUAAUGAAAUGAACAAAUGUAAAUGUCUAUUACAGAUGGGGGCCUGAUAUGCUGACAAAAUUAAUGAGCAGAUUUAUUUAUUUUUUAAUAACAGUUUACAGAAAUGUGGCAGACACUGUCACUAUCACCAGUGGGAGAGCAUGGAUGAACGAGCAUGCGGUGACUGCAUGAAGGAGAAAUGGAUGCGACCCAUGCCAGGAAAUGGACCUUUGUGGAUGCCCAAACUUCUGGUGCUGGGCCUGGCUAUUAGAAAGGGGAUUUCCUGCUUGGCCAUGGGAAGAGCAAAGGAGUAAAUGGGGAAAAAAAUGAGUUAUAAUGGAAUGGUGGGUGAAUGUACAGAACAAUUUAAAAGCAUGGAAAUCCAUAACAAAGCAAUUCCUACCAUCAGCAGCUAGCAGAUGAGGCUUAACUCUGUGCUGUGACAUGAAGUAGUAAAAGGAACUGAUCCUGCUGCAAAAUUAAAAUAGGGACCCUGUUUACCAACCCCCAAGGCAUGUAGAAAUAAGGUGUAUAUAUUUAAUGCAUGAAGUAUAUGCAAUCAGUGCUGCGGGUGAUGAAUAGGUGGGGGAGAUGGAGUCUGAAAAAGCAUUGUAUGGUUUUGUUUUGUUUAAUUUUCUUAUCACUGGUGAUUCCUAACUGUGGUAGCCAAUCAUGGUCUAGCGGUUGUUGUCUUUUUUUCUUUUUCCAAUUUCCUGUUGCAGGGUUGAACAGGAGUGGAGCAUGUGCUUGGCAUGCAGAAGGUCUCAGGUUCAAUCCUCAACAUCUUUGGUGGAAUGGGGAAAGACUUCUGCCUGAAACCUUAGAUACUAGUCAGUG